AUGGCCGCGCCGCUGGGGCCGCGCGCCAAUGAGGGCGGCGGCUGGCCGGAGCAGGGCGGCGCCGGGCCGGGGGCGAGGCGGCUGGCCACGGCGCUGCUGUUCCUGGCGGCCGUCGCGCUGCCGUGCCUCGUGCUGUACCGCGCCGUGGCGCCCGGCGGGGUGCUCGUCCAGCCCGCCGCCCGCCUGCCGUGGCUGCAGGCCGGCGCGCCGCCGCACGACGACGACGACGUCGACCUGGAGAGCGACAGCGAGGACGUGAGGCUGGAGCGGGUGCUCCGGGCGGCGGCCAUGGCCAACGACACGGUGAUCCUGACGACGCUCAACUCGGCGUGGGCGGAGCCGGGGUCCAUGGUGGACGUGUUCCUGGAGAGCUUCCGGGUGGGCGAGCACACCCGGGAGCUGCUCGACCACCUCGUCAUCGUCUCGCUCGACCUCGCCGCGCACCGCCGCUGCAAGCAGAUCCACCCGCACUGCCUGGCGGUGGCCACGGAGGGCGUCGACUUCUCGGGGCAGAAGAACUUCAUGACGGACGGGUACCUGCGGAUGAUGUGGCGCCGGAUCGACUUCCUCCGCCAGGUCCUGGAGAAGGGCUACAGCUUCAUCUUCACCGACACGGACAUCGUGUGGCUGCGCAGCCCGCUGCCGCGCCUCUACGCCGAGGGGGACUUCCAGAUCGCCUGCGACCACUUCACCGGCGACCCCGACGACGUCCUCGGCAACGCGCCCAACGGCGGCUUCGCCUACGCGCGCGCCAACACCGAGACCGUCGAGCUCUACCGCUACUGGUACGCCGCCAGGGAGCGCCACCCGGGCCUGCACGACCAGGACGUGCUCAACCUCAUCAAGGCCGACCGCUACCUCGCCGAGGUUGGGGUCAGGAUCAGGUUCCUCAGCACCGAAUUCUUCGGGGGCCUCUGCGAGCCCAGCCGCAACCUCAGCGCAGUCUGCACCAUGCACGCCAACUGCUGCGUCGGCCUCCGCCGCAAGAUCGCCGACCUCACCCUCAUCCUCCACGACUGGAGGAGCUUCAUGUCGCUCAGGGGCCCCGACAAGCGCUCCGCCUCAUGGAGCGUGCCACGGAACUGCAGCCUGGAUAAAGUGGAGGAGUAG
RNAcentral lists this ribosomal RNA (1110 nucleotides) under Triticum aestivum (bread wheat). RNAcentral's name for it is "partial small subunit ribosomal RNA". The record is from RNAcentral. Lineage: Eukaryota; Viridiplantae; Streptophyta; Magnoliopsida; Poales; Poaceae.